This 497-nucleotide ribosomal RNA is filed under the name uncultured bacterium. RNAcentral describes it as "partial 16S ribosomal RNA". It matches the Rfam family "Bacterial small subunit ribosomal RNA", at positions 28 to 507 of the family's 1533-position model. The record is from RNAcentral.
GAUGAACGCUGGCGGCGUGCCUAAUACAUGCAAGUCGAGCGAACGGACGAGAAGCUUGCUUCUCUGAUGUUAGCGGCGGACGGGUGAGUAACACGUGGAUAACCUACCUAUAAGACUGGGAUAACUUCGGGAAACCGGAGCUAAUACCGGAUAAUAUUUUGAACCGCAUGGUUCAAAAGUGAACGACGGUCUUGCUGACACUUAUAGAUGGAUCCGCGCUGCAUUAGCUAGUUGGUAAGGUAACGGCUUACCAAGGCAACGAUGCAUAGCCGACCUGAGAGGGUGAUCAGCCACACUGGAACUGAGACACGGUCCAGACUCCUACGGGAGGCAGCAGUAGGGAAUAUUCCGCAAUGGGCGAAAGCCUGACGGAGCAACGCCGCGUGAGUGAUGAAGGUCUUCGGAUCGUAAAACUCUGUUAUUAGGGAAGAACAUAUGUGUAAGUAACUGUGCACAUCUUGACGGUACCUAAUCAGAAAGCCACGGCUAACUACGUG